Long non-coding RNA from Schistocerca nitens (vagrant locust), 497 nucleotides. RefSeq lists it as uncharacterized. NCBI's taxonomy places the organism in Eukaryota, Metazoa, Arthropoda, Insecta, Orthoptera, Acrididae. The transcript is spliced from 2 exons. The record is from RefSeq and is a predicted model, not a curated record.
GCCUAGGGAAAACUAUGCUAUCGAACGAAUACAUCGAUAGGUCGUGUGGAGAACCAAAGCGUUUAGGAUCUUUGGUAGUGUUAACUCUGUCGCGUGGAGCGUGGGCAGAGGGGAGUCUGGCUGGAGUAGUGCAGUGGAGCAGGUGUGUUGUGUGACGCUCCCGCGAGUUGCCGCGCUUUCGGGAUUUGGCAGCAUGUAAUUGCGCUCGAAUUGCUAUGAUAGUUUCUGACAUGGUGUCGCGGACGGGAAGCAUUAGCUGGCGCACAUCAAGAGCCCGUUGCGCCUGGUGACCAUGUCGAGAAGAAGGCGCACCAACAUCCAGCUUCUGCAACAGCGACGGCCGACAAUGAGUGACUGUCGUCACCUGCUCGACCGACGACUGCAAACCUUCAAUCAACCAACAAGGAAGACUGUAAGCACGUAAAGUGUUAGAACUCUAUGGCAGACCUCAGCUUUUAAAAUUGUUGCAUCACAAAAUUACAGCAACUUAGCAUGAA